This is a long non-coding RNA of Peromyscus eremicus (cactus mouse), 447 nucleotides long. RefSeq lists it as uncharacterized. The record is from RefSeq and is a predicted model, not a curated record. The transcript has 3 exons. Lineage: Eukaryota; Metazoa; Chordata; Mammalia; Rodentia; Cricetidae.
UCUUUAGGACAUUGGUUCACUGACCACAAGUUUGGUCUCUAGAAAUGUUAUCCAGACUCAGAGGUCUUUGGGAGAGGGAAUGGACAGCAUGGAGAGACCAGAGUGAGGCAGAAGGAAGCUGGUCCUAGAUCUCCCUGGAAAACAUGGGGGAAUAAGUUGUCCUGGGGAAGACUCAGGACUACAGAGGAGGCACCAUCCCAAAUCUCCACCUCCACUGGGCUGGAGCAGCAGAUGAAAAAAACAGAGAAACUCACAAGCCGGCUACAUAAUAUGACAAGAAAGAGAAAUGAGCUGCGUGGAAUUUUAGCCAAUUACACCAACAAGGAUUUGAACAACAGGCUGAAUUUUGAGCUUGAGAUGCUCAAAAUGGAGCAUAAGCAGGUGAUGUCUGACCUGCAGAAAUUGCUCAUAGAGAUCAUUGGUGCCUUGGACAAGUGCACGGGGCUG